RNAcentral lists this ribosomal RNA (1459 nucleotides) under uncultured organism. Its description in RNAcentral is "16S ribosomal RNA". It matches the Rfam family "Bacterial small subunit ribosomal RNA". The record is from RNAcentral.
GUGCCUAAUACAUGCAAGUAGAACGCUGAAGAGAGGAGCUUGCUCUUCUUGGAUGAGUUGCGAACGGGUGAGUAACGCGUAGGUAACCUGCCUUGUAGCGGGGGAUAACUAUUGGAAACGAUAGCUAAUACCGCAUAACAAUGGAUGACACAUGUCAUUUAUUUGAAAGGGGCAAAUGCUCCACUACAAGAUGGACCUGCGUUGUAUUAGCUAGUAGGUGAGGUAACGGCUCACCUAGGCGACGAUACAUAGCCGACCUGAGAGGGUGAUCGGCCACACUGGGACUGAGACACGGCCCAGACUCCUACGGGAGGCAGCAGUAGGGAAUCUUCGGCAAUGGGGGCAACCCUGACCGAGCAACGCCGCGUGAGUGAAGAAGGUUUUCGGAUCGUAAAGCUCUGUUGUAAGUCAAGAACGAGUGUGAGAGUGGAAAGUUCACACUGUGACGGUAGCUUACCAGAAAGGGACGGCUAACUACGUGCCAGCAGCCGCGGUAAUACGUAGGUCCCGAGCGUUGUCCGGAUUUAUUGGGCGUAAAGCGAGCGCAGGCGGUUUGAUAAGUCUGAAGUUAAAGGCUGUGGCUCAACCAUAGUUCGCUUUGGAAACUGUCAAACUUGAGUGCAGAAGGGGAGAGUGGAAUUCCAUGUGUAGCGGUGAAAUGCGUAGAUAUAUGGAGGAACACCGGUGGCGAAAGCGGCUCUCUGGUCUGUAACUGACGCUGAGGCUCGAAAGCGUGGGGAGCGAACAGGAUUAGAUACCCUGGUAGUCCACGCCGUAAACGAUGAGUGCUAGGUGUUGGAUCCUUUCCGGGAUUCAGUGCCGCAGCUAACGCAUUAAGCACUCCGCCUGGGGAGUACGACCGCAAGGUUGAAACUCAAAGGAAUUGACGGGGGCCCGCACAAGCGGUGGAGCAUGUGGUUUAAUUCGAAGCAACGCGAAGAACCUUACCAGGUCUUGACAUCCCGAUGCUAUUUCUAGAGAUAGAAAGUUACUUCGGUACAUCGGUGACAGGUGGUGCAUGGUUGUCGUCAGCUCGUGUCGUGAGAUGUUGGGUUAAGUCCCGCAACGAGCGCAACCCCUAUUGUUAGUUGCCAUCAUUCAGUUGGGCACUCUAGCGAGACUGCCGGUAAUAAACCGGAGGAAGGUGGGGAUGACGUCAAAUCAUCAUGCCCCUUAUGACCUGGGCUACACACGUGCUACAAUGGUUGGUACAACGAGUUGCGAGCCGGUGACGGCAAGCUAAUCUCUUAAAGCCAAUCUCAGUUCGGAUUGUAGGCUGCAACUCGCCUACAUGAAGUCGGAAUCGCUAGUAAUCGCGGAUCAGCACGCCGCGGUGAAUACGUUCCCGGGCCUUGUACACACCGCCCGUCACACCACGAGAGUUUGUAACACCCGAAGUCGGUGAGGUAACCUUUUGGAGCCAGCCGCCUAAGGUGGGAUAGAUGAUUGGGGUGAAGUC